CUCCAGGCCGUCCUCGUCGCCGCUGCUGCCGCCGCCGCCGCCUUCUUCCUGGGCAUGGUCGCGGCUGGAGGGAGACACGGGGCAGCGGCGCACAAUGGACGGGUUAUAAACUGCGCGGGGGGAGGGGAGCGGAGACGAGCCACCCGGCCUCCACUUCCUCCUCUGCCCUCCCCAAAGUGGCGGCCGCAGGGUGGGCGGAGAGGGGGCGAGUUGGGAGAGGAAAUCGCGCCCCUCCCUGGCCCCGGCGCGGCUCCUUCGGGGAAUCCCGCAGGGCAGCCGGGAGCCCCAGAGGCAAUCCCCUGGAGGGAGAAUUGAGACCCCCGGCCUAUCCGUAAGUUAGGUUUGCCCACAAAGCAUCACAGUUGCAACCUCGCCCCCCAAAAGUAAAGGGAAAGUAAAACCAGCCUCCAGUCCCCUAGAUUUUCAUUAAAGAAGGCUUCGGGACACUUCCAGGAUUCCCCCUUGGCACCUGGGUGGUAAGGGAGCCCCUGCUCCCCGGCUACCCCACCUGCUGCUUUUGUCUCCGCAGUCUCCCCCCAAACCCACUCAUGGCAUUUAAUGCAACGCUCUCCCCCACCCCGCAUCAGCCCUGGACCCCCGUUCGGCCCCAGCUCAGGGGUGCCGACCUCGGGCUCUAGUUAGCCGAAUCCCUACGGCGGACUGCCCCCGGCGACGGGGGAAGAGCCCGAAGAAAGCUGGACCCCAGCCCCAAACACCUGCUCGCACAGACACGAAAAAUAAAAACUUUAAUGGUGCCCAACUCUCUCCCAGCCCCCUUGCCGGCCGUGCGGCCCGGCCGGUCUCCGAUUCGACUGCAAAGUGUCCAGGGCCGCCGCCAGCUCCCCGGCGUCCCUGCGCUCUCCCCUG
RNAcentral lists this long non-coding RNA (867 nucleotides) under Homo sapiens (human). RNAcentral describes it as "HSALNT0002416". The record is from RNAcentral. Lineage: Eukaryota; Metazoa; Chordata; Mammalia; Primates; Hominidae.